This 31-nucleotide non-coding RNA is filed under the name Mus musculus (house mouse). Lineage: Eukaryota; Metazoa; Chordata; Mammalia; Rodentia; Muridae. The record is from RNAcentral.
AAAUAAAUAAAUAAAAAGGUUAGCUUUCCAU